This is a non-coding RNA of Pelobates cultripes (western spadefoot toad), 279 nucleotides long. NCBI's taxonomy places the organism in Eukaryota, Metazoa, Chordata, Amphibia, Anura, Pelobatidae. The record is from the annotation of a GenBank genome assembly.
CUAAAAUUUUGGCAAUGAGUUGGGGGUUUCCCAGGUUUGGGUAAGGUCGAUAUGUGGGCUAUGAGCAUAUCUGGCGGUACUGUUCCAGAGGUGUAGCAGGAGUUGUAUAGGUUUGUGAGGUGAGGCGUAAGUAGGCUGGUAUAGGUCUGGUAGUAAAGGUUGGUAUAGCCAUCCGGCCCUGGGGCUUUUUGUUUGGGUAAGUCUCAGAUUGUCUGCUCUACUUCUUCCAUCUUAAAUGGUGAGGUGAGGGUCGUUAUGUCGGAGUCUUGCAGUUUGGGG